GAGUUUGAUCGUGGCUCAGGAUGAACGCUGGCGGCGUGCUUAACACAUGCAAGUCGAGCGAAGCACUUAAACGGAUUUCUUCGGAUUGAAGUUUUGUGACUGAGCGGCGGACGGGUGAGUAACGCGUGGGUAACCUGCCUCAUACAGGGGGAUAACAGUUGGAAACGGCUGCUAAUACCGCAUAAGCGCACAGCACCGCAUGGUGCAGUGUGAAAAACUCCGGUGGUGUGAGAUGGAUCCGCGUCUGAUUAG
Molecule: ribosomal RNA, 252 nt
Filed under: uncultured bacterium
Lineage: Bacteria
Description: partial 16S ribosomal RNA
Rfam family: Bacterial small subunit ribosomal RNA
Source: RNAcentral